RNAcentral lists this long non-coding RNA (456 nucleotides) under Glycine max (soybean). Its description in RNAcentral is "long non-coding RNA (GMAX_LNC000239)". The record is from RNAcentral. Lineage: Eukaryota; Viridiplantae; Streptophyta; Magnoliopsida; Fabales; Fabaceae.
CCCAUCUUCCUCUACUUCCACGGUGGCGCCUUUUGCGUCGAAUCCGCCUUCUCCUUUUUCGUCCACCGCUAUCUCAACAUCUUGGCCUCAGAAGCCAACAUAAUAGCCAUCUCCGUCGACUUCAGACUCCUCCCACACCACCCUAUCCCUGCUGCCUACGAAGACGGUUGGACCACCCUCAAAUGGAUUGCUUCCCACGCCAACAACACCAACACCACCAACCCGGAGCCAUGGCUACUCAACCACGCCGACUUCACCAAAGUCUACGUAGGAGGUGAAACCAGCGGUGCUAACAUCGCACACAACCUGCUUUUGCGUGCAGGUAACGAAUCCCUCCCCGGGGAUCUGAAAAUAUUGGGUGGAUUACUAUGCUGCCCCUUCUUCUGGGGCUCGAAGCCAAUUGGGUCGGAGGCUGUUGAGGGGCACGAGCAGAGUUUGGCCAUGAAGGUCUGGAAC